GACGAACGCUGGCGGCGUGCUUAACACAUGCAAGUCGAACGAUGAUGCGGUGCUUGCACCGUGGAUUAGUGGCGAACGGGUGAGUAACACGUGAGUAACCUGCCCUUCACUCUGGGAUAAGCGCUGGAAACGGUGUCUAAUACUGGAUAUUUAGGCUCUGCUGCAUGGUGGGGUUUGGAAAGAUUUUUUGGUGGAGGAUGGGCUCGCGGCCUAUCAGUUUGUUGGUGGGGUGAUGGCCUACCAAGACGACGACGGGUAGCCGGCCUGAGAGGGUGACCGGCCACACUGGGACUGAGACACGGCCCAGACUCCUACGGGAGGCAGCAGUGGGGAAUAUUGCACAAUGGGCGAAAGCCUGAUGCAGCGACGCCGCGUGAGGGAUGACGGCCUUCGGGUUGUAAACCUCUUUCAGUAGGGAAGAAGCGAGAGUGACGGUACCUGCAGAAGAAGCGCCGGCUAACUACGUGCCAGCAGCCGCCGUAACAC
Molecule: ribosomal RNA, 486 nt
Filed under: uncultured bacterium
Lineage: Bacteria
Description: bacterial SSU rRNA
Rfam family: Bacterial small subunit ribosomal RNA
Source: RNAcentral